Molecule: ribosomal RNA, 468 nt
Filed under: uncultured bacterium
Lineage: Bacteria
Description: partial 16S ribosomal RNA
Rfam family: Bacterial small subunit ribosomal RNA
Source: RNAcentral
GACGAACGCUGGCUGCGUGCUUAACACAUGCAAGUCGAACUGCAACGCCCUUCCUUUGUGGGGUUCUCGAGUGGCGAACGGGUGAGUAACACGUGAGUAACCUUCCCUUUACUUUGGGUUAACCUCAGUAAACCGGGGCUAAUCCCCGUUAGUACCACCUGCUGCAUGGUGGGGCUUGUAAAUUUUCGGCGGUUGGGGAUGGACUCGCGGGUUAUCCGCUUGUUGGUGGGGUAGUGGCUUACCAAGGCUUUGACGGAUAGCCUGCCUGAGAGGGUGACCAGGGACAAUAAGACUAAGAGAGGCAACAGACUGAUAAGGGAGGCAAGAGGGGGGAAUAUGAAACAGAGAGGGGAAGAGUGAUGCAGCAGCGUUGGGUGUGGAAUGAAGGACUUAGGGUUGAAAACCGCUUUCGGCUGUAACAAAGCGAGAGUGACGGUAAUGGGAAAAGAAGCAACGGCUAACUACGUG